AUUGAACGCUGGCGGCAUGCUUUACACAUGCAAGUCGAACGGUAACAGGUUAAGCUGACGAGUGGCGAACGGGUGAGUAAUGCAUCGGAACGUGCCCGGUCGUGGGGGAUAACGCAGCGAAAGCUGCGCUAAUACCGCAUACGAUCUAAGGAUGAAAGCGGGGGACCGUAAGGCCUCGCGCGAUCGGAGCGGCCGAUGUCAGAUUAGGUAGUUGGUGGGGUAAAGGCUCACCAAGCCAACGAUCUGUAGCUGGUCUGAGAGGACGACCAGCCACACUGGGACUGAGACACGGCCCAGACUCCUACGGGAGGCAGCAGUGGGGAAUUUUGGACAAUGGGCGAAAGCCUGAUCCAGCAAUGCCGCGUGCAGGAAGAAGGCCUUCGGGUUGUAAACUGCUUUUGUACGGAGCGAAAAGGUCUCCUCUAAUACAGGGGGCUCAUGACGGUACCGUAAGAAUAAGCACCGGCUAACUACGUGCCAGCAGCCGCGGUAA
Molecule: ribosomal RNA, 493 nt
Filed under: uncultured bacterium
Lineage: Bacteria
Description: partial 16S ribosomal RNA
Rfam family: Bacterial small subunit ribosomal RNA
Source: RNAcentral